RNAcentral lists this ribosomal RNA (1017 nucleotides) under uncultured bacterium. RNAcentral describes it as "bacterial SSU rRNA". It matches the Rfam family "Bacterial small subunit ribosomal RNA", at positions 355 to 1375 of the family's 1533-position model. The record is from RNAcentral. RNAcentral also lists the same sequence under 1 other name.
UGAGGAAUAUUGGUCAAUGGGCGAGAGCCUGAACCAGCCAAGUAGCGUGAAGGAUGACUGCCCUAUGGGUUGUAAACUUCUUUUAUAAAGGAAUAAAGUCGGGUAUGCAUACCCGUUUGCAUGUACUUUAUGAAUAAGGAUCGGCUAACUCCGUGCCAGCAGCCGCGGUAAUACGGAGGAUCCGAGCGUUAUCCGGAUUUAUUGGGUUUAAAGGGAGCGUAGAUGGAUGUUUAAGUCAGUUGUGAAAGUUUGCGGCUCAACCGUAAAAUUGCAGUUGAUACUGGAUAUCUUGAGUGCAGUUGAGGCAGGCGGAAUUCGUGGUGUAGCGGUGAAAUGCUUAGAUAUCACGAAGAACUCCGAUUGCGAAGGCAGCCUGCUAAGCUGCAACUGACAUUGAGGCUCGAAAGUGUGGGUAUCAAACAGGAUUAGAUACCCUGGUAGUCCACACGGUAAACGAUGAAUACUCGCUGUUUGCGAUAUACGGCAAGCGGCCAAGCGAAAGCGUUAAGUAUUCCACCUGGGGAGUACGCCGGCAACGGUGAAACUCAAAGGAAUUGACGGGGGCCCGCACAAGCGGAGGAACAUGUGGUUUAAUUCGAUGAUACGCGAGGAACCUUACCCGGGCUUAAAUUGCAGAUGAAUUACGGUGAAAGCCGUAAGCCGCAAGGCAUCUGUGAAGGUGCUGCAUGGUUGUCGUCAGCUCGUGCCGUGAGGUGUCGGCUUAAGUGCCAUAACGAGCGCAACCCUUGUUGUCAGUUACUAACAGGUUCCGCUGAGGACUCUGACAAGACUGCCAUCGUAAGAUGUGAGGAAGGUGGGGAUGACGUCAAAUCAGCACGGCCCUUACGUCCGGGGCUACACACGUGUUACAAUGGGGGGUACAGAGGGCCGCUACCACGCGAGUGGAUGCCAAUCCCAAAAACCUCUCUCAGUUCGGACUGGAGUCUGCAACCCGACUCCACGAAGCUGGAUUCGCUAGUAAUCGCGCAUCAGCCACGGCGCGGUGAAUACGUUCCC